GGCAUUAAGAAUCUAAAUGCUAAAAGCAACUCUGCGUUCUUCGAAGAUUCGAACAAGAUUUAAUGAAAAAGAGUGGCAAUACCGCUUGUUUCUGUGUACAUACAUAAAUAUUUGUUGACAUUUUGUUUUGCUGAUACAUACAUAUUUGUUGAUAGUUUUUUCCUGUGUGCCCUUAAAUUAAUAAAUACUGACAAUAAAAAAUGAAGCGAUCGCGAAAUCUUUGGACCGCAGAUGCAGAGGAGGUAUUUGUGAUGUUGUGGCAACAAAAAGUGGAUGACUUGAGGGGGCCCAGAAAAAACAGCCAUGUCUAUCAGGAGAUGGCGGCAGAAAUGCAGAUGCAAGGAUAUGAUGUCAAUUCCUCAUCUGUAAAAAUUAAGAUUGACAAUUUGACGGCAAAAUAUAGGCCAAGGCAGGUAUGGGGACGACUGGAGGCUCACCUGCUUCUUGGCAUUUAUUUGAGCAGGUGCACCAAAUAAUUGGUGGCUUCUCCAUCAAUAACGUGGAAGAGCUGAUAGAAGAGAGUUUUGAAGAUUCGAUGUCAUCAUCCCCGACAAAUAUCUCGCCGCUUUCUCCUUCUCUUCCCCAGCUGUCGCCAUCACCGUCGUGUUCAUCACCACUGCCG
Rhagoletis pomonella (apple maggot) is the source of this 622-nucleotide long non-coding RNA. RefSeq lists it as uncharacterized. The record is from RefSeq and is a predicted model, not a curated record. Lineage: Eukaryota; Metazoa; Arthropoda; Insecta; Diptera; Tephritidae. The transcript is spliced from 3 exons.